This 253-nucleotide ribosomal RNA is filed under the name uncultured bacterium. Its description in RNAcentral is "partial 16S ribosomal RNA". It matches the Rfam family "Bacterial small subunit ribosomal RNA", at positions 524 to 776 of the family's 1533-position model. The record is from RNAcentral.
UACAGAGGCCCCAAGCGUUGUUCGGAUUCAUUGGGCGUAAAGGGUGCGUAGGUGGUGUCGUUAGUCGAAUGUGAAAUCCCGGGGCUCAACUCCGGAACUGCAUUCGAUACUGCGGUACUUGAGGAUUGUAGGGGAGAGUGGAAUUCACGGUGUAGCAGUGAAAUGCGUAGAUAUCGUGAGGAAGACCAGUGGCGAAGGCGACUCUCUGGGCAAUUCCUGACACUGAGGCACGAAGGCUAGGGUAGCGAACGGG